This 466-nucleotide ribosomal RNA is filed under the name Clostridiales bacterium canine oral taxon 219. RNAcentral's name for it is "bacterial SSU rRNA". It matches the Rfam family "Bacterial small subunit ribosomal RNA", at positions 9 to 456 of the family's 1533-position model. The record is from RNAcentral. Lineage: Bacteria; Bacillati; Bacillota; Clostridia; Eubacteriales.
GAGUUUGAUUCUGGCUCAGGAUGAACGCUGGCGGCGUGCUUAACACAUGCAAGUCGAACGGAGCACCCCUGAACAAGUUUUCGGACAAGGGAUGGGACUGCUUAGUGGCGGACGGGUGAGUAACGCGUGAGUAACCUGCCUUGGAGUGGGGAAUAACAGUUGGAAACGGCUGCUAAUACCGCAUGAAGCAACUAGGUCGCAUGGCCUUGGUUGCCAAAGAUUUAUCGCUCUGAGAUGGACUCGCGUCUGAUUAGCUAGUUGGUGAGGUAACGGCCCACCAAGGCGACGAUCAGUAGCCGGACUGAGAGGUUGACCGGCCACAUUGGGACUGAGACACGGCCCAGACUCCUACGGGAGGCAGCAGUGGGGAAUAUUGGGCAAUGGGCGCAAGCCUGACCCAGCAACGCCGCGUGAAGGAAGAAGGCUUUCGGGUUGUAAACUUCUUUUCUGAGGGAAGAUAAUGACG